GGUAUCGCCGUUAGUCAUGUGCAAAUAUGGAUAGCUGUUUUAGCCGUCUUUAUUGACUGGUUUAUAAGAGUUAUCAGAUACCACUUUGAUUAAAUUAGAGUGCUUAAAGCAAGUGUGUUACUUGGAUAUAAAUGCAUGGAAUGAUGGAAUAUGUUGUUAUUCUAUUUGUUGGUUUUUGAAUGAUAAAAUGAUUGAAAGGAACUGUUGGGGGCAUUCGUAUUGUUGUGAGAGAGGUGAAAUUCUUAGACCACAGCAAGACGAACUACUGCGAAAGCAUUUGCCAAGAAUGUUUUCAUUGAUCAAGAACGAAAGUUAGAGGUUCGAAGGCGAUCAGAUACCGCCCUAGUUCUAACCAUAAACUAUGCCAACUAGCAAUUUGCUUUGUAUUUUUUAUGACUAAGUGAGAGGCCACGGGAAACCUAAGUAGGGUUAUGGGGGAAGUAUGGUUGCAAAGCUGAAACUUAAAGGAAUUGACGGAAGGGCACCACCGGGAGUGGAGCCUGCGGCUUAAUUUGACUCAACACGGGAAAACUUACCUGGUCCUGACACUAGAAGGAUUGACAGAUUGAUAGCUCUUUCUUGAUUUGGUGGAUGGUGGUGCAUGGCCGUUCUUAGUUGGUGGAGUGAUUUGUCUGGUUAAUUCCGAUAACGAACGAGACUCUAGCCUAUUAAAUAAUACACGGAAUUUUAUCUUCCGCGGUAUUUCUUAGUGGGAUCAAGCG
This 722-nucleotide ribosomal RNA is filed under the name uncultured eukaryote. RNAcentral's name for it is "bacterial SSU rRNA". It matches the Rfam family "Eukaryotic small subunit ribosomal RNA", at positions 672 to 1426 of the family's 1831-position model. The record is from RNAcentral.